GGUUAAGCGACUAAGCGUACACGGUGGAUGCCCUGGCAGUCAGAGGCGAUGAAGGACGUGCUAAUCUGCGAUAAGCGUCGGUAAGGUGAUAUGAACCGUUAUAACCGGCGAUUUCCGAAUGGGGAAACCCAGUGUGAUUCGUCACACUAUCAUUAACUGAAUCCAUAGGUUAAUGAGGCGAACCGGGGGAACUGAAACAUCUAAGUACCCCGAGGAAAAGAAAUCAACCGAGAUUCCCCCAGUAGCGGCGAGCGAACGGGGAGCAGCCCAGAGCCUGAAUCAGUGUGUGUGUUAGUGGAAGCGUCUGGAAAGGCGCGCGAUACAGGGUGACAGCCCCGUACACAAAAAUGCACAUGCUGUGAGCUCGAUGAGUAGGGCGGGACACGUGGUAUCCUGUCUGAAUAUGGGGGGACCAUCCUCCAAGGCUAAAUACUCCUGACUGACCGAUAGUGAACCAGUACCGUGAGGGAAAGGCGAAAAGAACCCCGGCGAGGGGAGUGAAAAAGAACCUGAAACCGUGUACGUACAAGCAGUGGGAGCACGCUUAGGCGUGUGACUGCGUACCUUUUGUAUAAUGGGUCAGCGACUUAUAUUCUGUAGCAAGGUUAACCGAAUAGGGGAGCCGAAGGGAAACCGAGUCUUAACUGGGCGUUAAGUUGCAGGGUAUAGACCCGAAACCCGGUGAUCUAGCCAUGGGCAGGUUGAAGGUUGGGUAACACUAACUGGAGGACCGAACCGACUAAUGUUGAAAAAUUAGCGGAUGACUUGUGGCUGGGGGUGAAAGGCCAAUCAAACCGGGAGAUAGCUGGUUCUCCCCGAAAGCUAUUUAGGUAGCGCCUCGUGAAUUCAUCUCCGGGGGUAGAGCACUGUUUCGGCAAGGGGGUCAUCCCGACUUACCAACCCGAUGCAAACUGCGAAUACCGGAGAAUGUUAUCACGGGAGACACACGGCGGGUGCUAACGUCCGUCGUGAAGAGGGAAACAACCCAGACCGCCAGCUAAGGUCCCAAAGUCAUGGUUAAGUGGGAAACGAUGUGGGAAGGCCCAGACAGCCAGGAUGUUGGCUUAGAAGCAGCCAUCAUUUAAAGAAAGCGUAAUAGCUCACUGGUCGAGUCGGCCUGCGCGGAAGAUGUAACGGGGCUAAACCAUGCACCGAAGCUGCGGCAGCGACGCUUAUGCGUUGUUGGGUAGGGGAGCGUUCUGUAAGCCUGCGAAGGUGUGCUGUGAGGCAUGCUGGAGGUAUCAGAAGUGCGAAUGCUGACAUAAGUAACGAUAAAGCGGGUGAAAAGCCCGCUCGCCGGAAGACCAAGGGUUCCUGUCCAACGUUAAUCGGGGCAGGGUGAGUCGACCCCUAAGGCGAGGCCGAAAGGCGUAGUCGAUGGGAAACAGGUUAAUAUUCCUGUACUUGGUGUUACUGCGAAGGGGGGACGGAGAAGGCUAUGUUGGCCGGGCGACGGUUGUCCCGGUUUAAGCGUGUAGGCUGGUUUUCCAGGCAAAUCCGGAAAAUCAAGGCUGAGGCGUGAUGACGAGGCACUACGGUGCUGAAGCAACAAAUGCCCUGCUUCCAGGAAAAGCCUCUAAGCAUCAGGUAACAUCAAAUCGUACCCCAAACCGACACAGGUGGUCAGGUAGAGAAUACCAAGGCGCUUGAGAGAACUCGGGUGAAGGAACUAGGCAAAAUGGUGCCGUAACUUCGGGAGAAGGCACGCUGAUAUGUAGGUGAAGUCCCUCGCGGAUGGAGCUGAAAUCAGUCGAAGAUACCAGCUGGCUGCAACUGUUUAUUAAAAACACAGCACUGUGCAAACACGAAAGUGGACGUAUACGGUGUGACGCCUGCCCGGUGCCGGAAGGUUAAUUGAUGGGGUCAGCGCAAGCGAAGCUCUUGAUCGAAGCCCCGGUAAACGGCGGCCGUAACUAUAACGGUCCUAAGGUAGCGAAAUUCCUUGUCGGGUAAGUUCCGACCUGCACGAAUGGCGUAAUGAUGGCCAGGCUGUCUCCACCCGAGACUCAGUGAAAUUGAACUCGCUGUGAAGAUGCAGUGUACCCGCGGCAAGACGGAAAGACCCCGUGAACCUUUACUAUAGCUUGACACUGAACAUUGAGCCUUGAUGUGUAGGAUAGGUGGGAGGCUUUGAAGUGUGGACGCCAGUCUGCAUGGAGCCGACCUUGAAAUACCACCCUUUAAUGUUUGAUGUUCUAACGUGGACCCGUAAUCCGGGUUGCGGACAGUGUCUGGUGGGUAGUUUGACUGGGGCGGUCUCCUCCUAAAGAGUAACGGAGGAGCACGAAGGUUGGCUAAUCCUGGUCGGACAUCAGGAGGUUAGUGCAAUGGCAUAAGCCAGCUUGACUGCGAGCGUGACGGCGCGAGCAGGUGCGAAAGCAGGUCAUAGUGAUCCGGUGGUUCUGAAUGGAAGGGCCAUCGCUCAACGGAUAAAAGGUACUCCGGGGAUAACAGGCUGAUACCGCCCAAGAGUUCAUAUCGACGGCGGUGUUUGGCACCUCGAUGUCGGCUCAUCACAUCCUGGGGCUGAAGUAGGUCCCAAGGGUAUGGCUGUUCGCCAUUUAAAGUGGUACGCGAGCUGGGUUUAGAACGUCGUGAGACAGUUCGGUCCCUAUCUGCCGUGGGCGCUGGAGAACUGAGGGGGGCUGCUCCUAGUACGAGAGGACCGGAGUGGACGCAUCACUGGUGUUCGGGUUGUCAUGCCAAUGGCACUGCCCGGUAGCUAAAUGCGGAAGAGAUAAGUGCUGAAAGCAUCUAAGCACGAAACUUGCCCCGAGAUGAGUUCUCCCUGACUCCUUGAGAGUCCUGAAGGAACGUUGAAGACGACGACGUUGAUAGGCCGGGUGUGUAAGCGCAGCGAUGCGUUGAGCUAACCGGUACUAAUGAACCGUGAGGCUUAACCUU
RNAcentral lists this ribosomal RNA (2904 nucleotides) under Escherichia coli. RNAcentral's name for it is "23S ribosomal RNA". It matches the Rfam family "Bacterial large subunit ribosomal RNA". Lineage: Bacteria; Pseudomonadati; Pseudomonadota; Gammaproteobacteria; Enterobacterales; Enterobacteriaceae. The record is from RNAcentral. RNAcentral also lists the same sequence under 1 other name.